AUGGAUGCAAACCGCCGUUAAACCAAAAAAGAAGAUAAAGACAUGAUCUAUUUCUACUUCCGGGUAGGGAGUGAAUCAAUAUUGUUGUCAUUUCUAGCUUCACUUUUCACUUUUGCACCGGCAAACAUUUGCCAAAGUUGUUUUUUUUGCUAUGUAUCACCAACCUGUGUUGAAGAACAGGCGGACACUUUUGGAGAGAGCUGAGAAGUUUAUUUCUGAUGUUUACUUCACAGACUGCAACCUGCGAGGACGGCUGUAUGGAGAAUCUUACCCACUGGAAUCCCUCAGCCAAUUUAUGUCUCCUAAACGGAUAACAUUGAUGGAAGCUCAAACACAGAGUUUUACACCUUACAAUGUAGGCGAUACCUUUGGACCGACGUGGUGGACUUGUUGGUUUAAAGCAACCCUGAAUAUUCCAGAAUGCUGGAGAGGUAAAGAGGUUCAUGUUCUCUGGGAAAGUGAUGGAGAGGCGAUGGUUUGGAGGGAUGGACAAGCAGUUCAGGGUUUGACUAAAGAAGGUGAAAAGACGAGUUACAUUUUGUCUGACUGCCUCACAGACGAAGAACCGCACAGUGUUACCAUCUAUGUGGAAAUGGCCUGUAAUGGACUCUUUGGAGCCGGUAACGGGUCAAUGAUCGCACCUCCAGACCCAAACAGGAAGUUUUCUGUGCAAAAAGCCGAGCUUGUGAUCUUCAACCGGGAAGUCAGGGAGCUGAUGACGGAUUUUGAGAUGCUCAUUGACAUUGUCAAGGAACUUGGCGAGGGCGAGCAGCGAAGCUACCAGGCUCUGUUCACCGUCAAUGAGAUGGUGAACGUGAGCGACCCCACUGAUCCCAGCUCUUUCUCUGGAGCACGGAGUUUGGCUCAGACUUUUUUUAGCCAACAUAACGGACAAAGCCAGCACACUGUCCUCGCCAUGGGCCACUGCCACAUUGACUCAGCUUGGCUGUGGCCUUAUGAAGAAACUAUUCGUAAGUGUGCCAGGAGUUGGGUGACGGUGAUCCAUCUCAUGAAAAAGAAUCCGGAUUUUGUGUUUACAUGUUCUCAAGCCCAACAGUUUGAGUGGGUCAAGUGCUGGUACCCAGGACUCUUUUCAGAGAUUCAGCAAUACAUUAAGGCUGGCCGGUUCAUUCCAGUCGGAGGGACGUGGGUGGAAAUGGAUGGUAAUCUACCCUCGGGAGAGUCCAUGGUCAGGCAGUUCCUGGAGGGCCAGCUUUUUUUUGAGCAAGAGUUUGGGAUGAGGUGUAAAGAAUUCUGGCUUCCAGAUACCUUUGGAUACUCGGCCCAACUCCCUCAGAUAAUGCAGGGCUGCGGAAUUUCCAAUUUCUUAACACAGAAACUAAGUUGGAACCUCGUGAACACCUUCCCUCAUAACACAUUUUUUUGGGAAGGCCUCGACGGCUCCAAGGUCUUGACUCACUUCCCACCUGGAGAUUCCUAUGAAACAAAAGGCAAGGUUGAAGACCUUGUAAAAACUGUAAAGCAAAACAAAGACAAGGGCAGGGCAAACCACAGUGUCAUGUUGUUUGGCUUUGGUGACGGGGGUGGUGGUCCUACGCAGUUGAUGCUGGACAGACUGAAGCGGGUCCAGGACACAGAUGGCCUUCCUAAGAUUCGAAUGUCCUCUCCUGACUCAUUUUUCUCUGAGCUUUGGGCCGACUCACAUCUGCUGUGCACUUGGGCAGGGGAGCUGUUUCUCGAGUUGCACAACGGCACGUACACCACACAGGCACAGAUCAAGCGGGGAAACCGCCAGUGUGAGACACUCCUGCAUGACAUCGAGAUAGCCAGCAGCUUGGCAAUGUGUCAGGACACACAUUUUCAGUAUCCUGUAGGGAGGCUGAGAGAACUCUGGAGGCUUCUGCUACUAAACCAGUUCCAUGAUGUAAUCCCAGGCAGCUGUAUUGAGAUGGUUGUAGAGGAUGCAUUGAGAUAUUAUGAAGAUAUUCGUAGGAGUGGUGCCGCACUCCUGCAAGAUAGCCUUAGUGCUCUGGUGUCAAAGGGCGAUGCCACAAGUGUAUUCAACUCUCUGUCCUGGGAGCGCCUUGAAGUCAUUCAGAUUCAGGAUGGCCCCAGCAAUGAGUUUGCUCUGGUGCGAGUUCCCAGUAUUGGUGUGAAUUUCAUUCAAGAAACAAAGCCUGCGACUGCAGUUUGUGUUACUCUUCAGGAGGACGGCAGUGUCCUCAUGGAAAACGGCAUCAUACGCACUGUUGUGAAAAAAGAUGGCACAAUGGCAUCACUGCAUUUGAUAUCUGCAAACAGGGAAGCUCUUUCGGUUGGCUGCUGUGGUAACCAGUUUGUCAUGUUUGAUGACGUACCUCUGUACUGGGAUGCAUGGGAUGUUAUGGACUACCAUCUUCAGACAAGGAGGCCUGUGGUGGAAGUGGUGCAGCCUGCUCAUGUGCUCUCUUCGCAUGAACUCAGAGGAAGUGUCAGCUUCACGCUGAGGAUCAGCGACAAGAGUACAGUCACACAGGAGAUUGUGAUGGACGCCAUGUGUCCUUACAUUAAGUUCAACACGCAGGUGAACUGGGCCGAGUCACACAAGUUUCUUAAGGUUGAAUUCCCAGUGCAAGUGCACAGUCCCAACGCAACGUAUGAGAUUCAGUUUGGUCAUCUGCAGAGACCUACACACAGGAACACAUCGUGGGACUGGGCCAGAUUUGAAGUAUGGGGUCAUAAAUGGGCCGAUUUGUCAGAGCACAAUUUUGGAGUGGCACUGCUCAAUGACUGCAAGUACGGGUAUUCGGUCUUCAAGAACACAAUGGCGCUCUCGCUGUUGAGGGCGCCAAAGGCUCCAGAUGCCAACGCUGAUAUGGGAUCUCAUCACUUCACCUAUGCAAUCAUGCCACACGCAGGGACCUUACAAGAUGCCGGAGUCAUCCAAUGUGCGUACAACCUCAAUUACCCUUUAAGGUUAACCCCGUGCUCCUCUGACAUGGCGCUCUGGAGCGCCUUUUCCAUUAGCCCUGCAGCUGUCAUCCUAGAGACUGUUAAACAGGCAGGGAGCCCUCCUUGUCAGAAUGUACGAGGCUUACGGCGGAGGUGUGACUGCAACCCUCCACACAACUCUUCCAAUCAAGGAGGCCUGGCAUUGUGAUCUUUUAGAGCAAACAGACACUACUCAGCCAGCAUGUGACUCUGCAGAUGGGAUCAUUCUCCACUUCACUCCAUUCCAAGUUAGAUCGCUGCUGCUUAUAUUUUAAACAGCAAGUCAUCAGACACAGAGUGGAACCUCUUAAGGUUGAGGGCGCCAAAGGCUCCAGAUUCCAACGCUGAUAUGGGAUCUCAUCACUUCACCUAUGCAAUCAUGCCACACGCAGGGACCUUACAAGAUGCCGGAGUCAUCCAAUGUGCGUACAACCUCAAUUACCCUUUAAGGUUAACCCCGUGCUCCUCUGACAUGGCGCUCUGGAGCGCCUUUUCCAUUAGCCCUGCAGCUGUCAUCCUAGAGACUGUUAAACAGGCAGGGAGCCCUCCUUGUCAGAAUGUACGAGGCUUACGGCGGAGGUGUGACUGCAACCCUCCACACAACUCUUCCAAUCAAGGAGGCCUGGCAUUGUGAUCUUUUAGAGCAAACAGACACUACUCAGCCAGCAUGUGACUCUGCAGAUGGGAUCAUUCUCCACUUCACUCCAUUCCAAGUUAGAUCGCUGCUGCUUAUAUUUUAAACAGCAAGUCAUCAGACACAGAGUGGAACCUCUUAAGAAAGGAGAUGAAGACACAUUUGAAGAUGGGAUGUGGAAGCAUUGGCCAAUCUGAGGUUCCUGUCGUGAACACAUCUUCAUCAGAAGGUUUGCCCAACUUUACUUGUGCCCGUCAUUUACAAACGGUAAGUUUAAAUCCUUUUUCUUAGAUAGGUUAGUAGUGUCUGAAAAUUACAAACACAAUAACUUAUCAUCACUCCGUCAUUUAAUGAAACAAACUCAAAGUCCUACUGUAUAUGCACAGAAAGUGAACAUCAACACAGAUAAUGGCAGCUAACAUACAGUACUAGCCAAAAGUUUGGACACACCGUCUCAUUCAAUGCAUUUUUAUAUUUUAUUUUCAUGACAUUGUCACUGAUGGCAUCAAAACUAUGAGUGUGGAGUUAUGUACUUAACAAAAAAAGGUGAAAUAACUGAAAACAUGAUUUAUAUUCUAGUUUUUUCAAAAUAGCCACCAUUUGCUCGGAUUACUGCUUUGCACACUCUUGACAUUUCUCUCGAUGAGCUUCAAGCACACUUGUGAAGUGAAAGCCAUUUCUGAUGACUACCUCUUGAAGCCAAGAGAGUGCGAAAAAAUAAUCAGAGCAAAGAGUGGCUAUUUUGAAGAAACUAGAAUAGAAAACAUGUUUUCAGUUAUUUCACAUUUUUGUUAAGUAGAUAACUCUACAUGUGUUCAUCCAGAGUUUUGAUGCUUUCAGUGACAAUCUACAAUGUCCAUCCAUCCAUCCAUCCAUCUUCUUCCGCUUAUCCGAGGUCGGGUCGCGGGGGCAGCAGCCUAAGCAGGGAAACCAAGACUUCCCUCUCCCUAGCCACUUCGUCUAGCUCUUCCCGGGGGAUCCCGAGGCGUUCCCAGGCCAGCCGGGAGACAUAGUCUUCCCAACGUGUCCUGGGUCUUCCCCGUGGCCUCCUACCGGUUGGACGUGCCCUAAACACCUCCCUCGGGAGGCGUUCGGGUGGCAUCCUGACCAGAUGCCCGAACCACCUCAUCUGGCUCCUCUCGAUGUGGAGGAGCAGCGGCUUUACUUUGAGUUCCUCCCGGAUGACAGAGCUUCUCACCCUAUCUCUAAGGGAGAGGAGGAAACUCAUUUCGGCCGCUUGUACCCGUGAUCUUAUCCUUUCGGUCAUGACCAAAAGCUCAUGACCAUAGGUGAGGAUGGGAACGUAGAUCGACCGGUAAAUUGAGAGCUUUGCCUUCCGGCUCAGCUCCUUCUUCACCACAACGGAUCGGUACAACGUCCGCAUUACUGAAGACGCCGCACCGAUCCGCCUGUCGAUCUCACGAUCCACUCUUCCCUCACUCGUGAACAAGACUCCUAGGUACUUGAACUCCUCCACUUGGGGCAACAAUGUAAAUAGUCAUAAAAAUAAAGAAAAAGCAUUGAAUGAGAAGGUGUGUCCACACUUUUGGCCUGUACUGUACAGAGAGCAAUCAUAUUGCUGUCUCAAAUGAGCCACCGUUUAUCAGUCAGAUGCAAUAGAAAAAAUGGCGCUGCUAUACAGUAGAAUUACUGAUUCCAUUAAAGGUGGAAUCACCUUUAAUGUGGAAAAAACUAAUAAACAUCACACAAAUUCAUAAAAAGCUAGGGGUGGCACAAUAGUAUGCCCUGUCAGAAAUGUGUUCAGCCAUAAUUAAAAUUGCAGUGUGUGUAGACCUACCUUUGAUGGCUAACGUGGAAUUUUGCCCACACUUAUUGAAGAGGAAGAUAACCACCAGCAUGACGCUAGCAAACCCUGCAAGUCCGACUGCUAUAGAAACCUUGAAAUGGGAGGAGGUAAAGAGACUAUUAUUUAAAAAAAAAUGAUGUACCAUUCACUACAAUCACAUGCUCAUAAUGUUCCUGCAUUAACCACAAUAUAAUAAAUAUUCUGAAAACUUCUGAAAAAUGCCAAUUCCAAAUCAAGGAUUUUUUUCCAUUAUUAAAAACGUAAUUUGGACCCGGGAUGUAUGCUUGUACACGGUUUGAUGUACUAAAGUUAUACAAACCAUACAGCAAACAUAUUAAUCAGUUCUCAUGCUCAGAAAGGAUUGUGGGAUGUUUGUUUUCGCCAUUCCAUCGAAUGAAGAUGAAACAGUUGUUACAGCCUUGUUGGCCGUGACUCCAGGGUGCAGAGAUGGCAGGCAAAGUGCAGGUAAAAUGUAUUUAAUGAUAAGGAAGUGCAAACAAUGCAAAAUAGGCACAGGGAAAGCUGUGCAGCAUUAAGGUACAAAGCACUUUGGCAUAAAACAUCGUAAUUAUCAAUCCCUUGAUUGCUAAUCAAGGACAAGUGAAGGAGCCAGCGCUUGGAGAAGUAAUGCUGGUUAGUGAUAUGUUGAAAUCUUUAAGAGAAUCAGUGAGGUAUUUUGGACCAAUAAAUAUGAGAUUAGUUUUUUGUAGUAGAGUUUGAGAAAGUUUAUGUUUAUCCAGAUGUUUACAUCAGUGAAGCAGUUGGUGAACUGUAGAUCUGUAUAUUAUCAGUGUAGCAGUAAUAAUUAAGGCCAUGUGACUUAUUAAUUGCCCAAAUUGAAGUAUGUUAAGGUUGAAGAAGAGAUGGCCAAUUUACGAACUUUGGGGGACACCUUGGUACAAGGGGGCAAUGGAUUAGGUGGAGUUAUUGAUGGAUAGGAAUUGCUGUCUAUUGUUCAGAUAUGACUUAAUCCAGAGUGCAGUGCCUGUAAUGUUGAGGAAAUUUUCCAGGUUUAAGAGAGCAAUGGCGUGAUUAAUGGCAUCAAAAGCUGCAAGGAGAUCGAGAAGAAUGAAGAGAUUGAGGUGGCGUAGGUCAGAUGCGAGGGGGAGGUGAAUUAAAGACUUUGCAAAGGGCUCUUUUAGUGCUUUUGGGGGAACGCAAACCAGACUGAAAUGGACUGGAGAGAUUAUUGACAUUAUGCUGAACUGUUAUUUGGCUCGUCAAUGCACAUUCCAAUAUUGUUUGGCAAAAUAAGAUGGUUGAAGACGGGCCAGAAGUUGCUAAUGGCUUUAGUGUCAAGUCCAGGUUUUUUGAGGCGGGUGUCACAGAGUCAGUUUUGAAUGAGGUAGAAACAGAACCGGAGUUGAGGGAGAGUUCAGUAUAUUUGUAAUUAGAGGGGUCAUCUGGUGUCUUAUAAAUCGGAAUAAAACAUUUGCUUUGUAAUUGUACAGUUUAUUUAAUUGAUUUAGAUGUAAUAUACUAUUCAAGUAAAAAUGUUAUUAGGUACAUUUAAAUUUGGUUGCAUACUUUUGAUGUGGCUGUGCAUGAAAUGAAGUUUAAAAUGCAAUAUUAUAAUUUAUCAAUUAGCUGUCUUAAUGUUGUGACUGACGGUAAAAGUAGUUUAUAGGUGAUACUAUUUUUUUAGCAAAGAUUAAAAUGUUAAUGCUGAAAGGCAUGAUACAAAGUUGGUAAAAUCCUGAAACUGUAUAUAAAAAAGCAGAAUUGUAAAAUAAAUGUUUAAAAUGGGUAUGUUUAUAAACUGUUUUGUAUUUACUGAAUACAAUUUUGUUUGAAUGUUUUUUACUUAAUUCCACUGAGUAAAAAUAUGUAAUAAAAAGUGAGAGUUAAAUUCUGAGUCAAGUCCAAGUCUUUGGGAAGCCUUACAGUCAUAGAUAGACUUGACAAAGUCAUACAAACUUAUUUAAUUUAAUUUUAAUUUUAUUUUUUAUCAUGAAAAAGGGAGGUUUUUUUGGGUUGGUGCACUAAUUGUAAGUGUAUCUGGAGCUUAUCUCAGCUACACAUGGGCGGAAGGCGGUGUACAUCCUGGACAAGUCGCCACCUUAUCGCAGCCAACUUAUGCUUGUUUAAUGUAAUAUGUUUAACUUACUAUGAAUGCAUACUUUUAACACUUUGUAUUGACCUGAGGGGACCCUGUCAUUAAUAGUCAGAGCAUGUACCAUCAAUUGAUUAACGUGGACCCCGAUUUAAACAAGUUGAAAAACUUAUUGGGGUGUUACCAUUUAGUGGUCAAUUGUACGGAAUAUGUACUGAACUGUGCAAUCUACUAAUAAAAGUAUCAAUCAAUCAAGCAAUUGUUGAAAUUAAGUACUAUAUGAUUUUUUUUUUUUCGUGAUUGUGCAAGUCCAGGGUUGUGUUGAAGUGUAAUUGUUGCGUUUUUCCUAGUUUUUGCAAUUUUUGGCUCCCCUUCUUUGGUCUCUUUCUCGAAAGAAAAACUCUAAAAUAUCGGACAGUCCUCUGCCAAACUUUUUUUUACAUUGAACCUAAAAGUUACACAGAGGUUCUUACUGGAGGAGGAGCAACUCUUUAUGAACAUUGCCGGAGACGCCGCAGAGAAGGACAACAAGCAGGUGCACUCAUUAAACAGAGGUAGAGGGGAUUACGCACAGUGCUUCUAUCCAUUCACUUGGCGAACAUCCACUCCCUGGCUAAUAAGCUGGACGAACACCAAAAACACCUUGACACUAAAAACACAGAUUUUUGUAGAUCCGUUGUCCUGGGUUUUACUGAAACUAAAAACCAGUUUAUUAACUCCGGGAGAUCUCCUCGUUUGUUAUGGUCGCUGUUUACAUACUACCUCAGGCGUGCGGAACAGUGAUAAACGACUCUUAUUGUUCUGUUCACAGGGCAGCUUUGGAAAUCUAUCUAAUUCCCUUCAUCCCGAUUCCCGACCUACAGGCAAAAGUUAAAAACUGCUAAGCCUGUAGACUUUAAAGAGAUGGUCAAAGGAAUCAAAAGAGUAAUUACAGGCCUGUUUUGAUCGUACUGAUUGGAGUGUCUUUGAAGUUGCUUUAAAAAAUCUUGGGAAACUCACUGACCUGUGACAUUAUAUGUCAGCUUCUCUGUGUGUGUGCAGACUAAGACCUUCUGCACACAUUUGUGUCAGGCCAAGGAGAUCAGAGUAGCUAAGAAACACACUGUUAUGCUUACCAUUGGUUUUGGGUUUAAACGUAUACAUUAAAUGUGUCCCCACAGUGUCAUAUCAUUGGUGAGUUACAUCCAGGUGAAAACAAAUCCUGGGGGGAGAAUGAUCUAAUACAGUGCCUCUCCAUAAGUGGUGCUCCAGGCAUACAUACCAAUCAAGCUUUAUUGCAGACACCAACGUCCAAGUAGACAUACAAUCACAUACGGUACAUAAAACAAAGAAUACAGUCUAUAUAACAUGAUAUUAAAAUAGUGCUUGUGCAUAUUAAGUAAAAGUUAAAAGUUAAAGUUAAAGUACCAAUGAUUGUAGGCAUCCAACAAACAAAUGCAACAAUAAAAAUAUGCUUUUAAAAUGCUUCUACACAUUCUAUAAAAGUGCCACCAACACUGAUUUAAAUGUAACUUAGAUAUUGGGUUUCACUAUGUAAAGCGCUUUGAGUCACUAGAGAAAAGUGCUAUAUAAAUAUAAUUCACGUCACUAUAAAAGGCACAAAUACCAGUGUUUAACAUAUUGGCUUGGACAUACAUCAUUGUUCUCUGUCCAAGCAUGUCAGCAUCAUCCACCAUCUCAUCAUUGAUGAUGUGGCCUGAAUGUUUUACAUUGUUGCAAAUAGACAGGGUUUGACCGGACAAGUAGAAAACUGGGAAAUUAAAAAAUGUUGAUCCUCCUUGAUUCUACAUAUCAUUACCAUAGUCUUUGUGGCAUUAUACUUGAUGUCAAACUCGUCUCCAUAGUCUCAGCAUAUGUUAAGAAGCUGUUGAAACCCUGCAGUACUGGAAGUUAUAAUGGCCAAAUCAUCAGCGUACAUAGUGGUUGAGAAAGGUGUUCUCAAAUAUGCACCCUGUUGUACAAUCUCUCUUUGACAAGGUUAUCCAUAUACCAAUCUGGUAUAUAGAAGCCCACCCUGCUGUACCCCAUUGCCAACUCUAAAAGGAGAGGAUAAUAUACUCCCCCGUUUUACCUGCAUUGUCUGCCUGCUGUACCAAUAUGCUAAAAUAUGUAUGAGGACCCCAAUGCUUUUGCUUGGUGAAGAGUUUGUGAUGGUUGACGCUGUCAAAUGCUUUAGAUCAGGGGUGCCCACACU
RNA transcript from Nerophis ophidion (straightnose pipefish), 9619 nucleotides. It is a transcript of the gene named alpha-mannosidase 2C1-like, with no coding region annotated. The record is from RefSeq and is a predicted model, not a curated record. Lineage: Eukaryota; Metazoa; Chordata; Actinopteri; Syngnathiformes; Syngnathidae. The transcript has 31 exons.